RNAcentral lists this ribosomal RNA (372 nucleotides) under uncultured organism. Its description in RNAcentral is "bacterial SSU rRNA". It matches the Rfam family "Bacterial small subunit ribosomal RNA", at positions 526 to 896 of the family's 1533-position model. The record is from RNAcentral.
CGUAGGGGGCUAGCGUUGUCCGGAAUCAUUGGGCGUAAAGCGCGUGUAGGCGGUUCGGUAAGUCCGCUGUGAAAGUCGGGGGCUCAACCCUCGGAUGCCGGUGGAUACUGUCGGACUAGAGUGCGGAAGAGGCGAGUGGAAUUCCUGGUGUAGCGGUGAAAUGCGCAGAUAUCAGGAGGAACACCAAUUGCGAAGGCAGCUCGCUGGGACGUUACUGACGCUGAGACGCGAAAGCGUGGGGAGCAAACAGGAUUAGAUACCCUGGUAGUCCACGCCGUAAACGAUGGGCACUAGGUGUGGGGGGUGUCGACUCCCUCCGUGCCGAAGCUAACGCAUUAAGUGCCCCGCCUGGGGAGUACGGCCGCAAGGCUA